Molecule: ribosomal RNA, 431 nt
Filed under: uncultured bacterium
Lineage: Bacteria
Description: partial 16S ribosomal RNA
Rfam family: Bacterial small subunit ribosomal RNA
Source: RNAcentral
AACGAACGCUGGCGGCAUGCCUAACACAUGCAAGUCGAACGAGACCUUCGGGUCUAGUGGCGCACGGGUGCGUAACGCGUGGGAACCUGCCCUUAGGUUCGGAAUAACUCCCCGAAAGGGGUGCUAAUACCGGAUAAUGUCUUCGGACCAAAGAUUUAUCGCCUUUGGAUGGGCCCGCGUUGGAUUAGCUAGUUGGUAGGGUAAAAGCCUACCAAGGCGACGAUCCAUAGCUGGUCUGAGAGGAUGAUCAGCCACACUGGGACUGAGACACGGCCCAGACUCCUACGGGAGGCAGCAGUGGGGAAUAUUGGACAAUGGGCGAAAGCCUGAUCCAGCAAUGCCGCGUGAGUGAUGAAGGCCUUAGGGUUGUAACGCUCUUUUACCCGGGAUGAUAGUGACUGUACAGGGAGAAUAAGCUCCGGCUCUCUCCG